RNAcentral lists this ribosomal RNA (1503 nucleotides) under uncultured bacterium. RNAcentral describes it as "bacterial SSU rRNA". It matches the Rfam family "Bacterial small subunit ribosomal RNA". The record is from RNAcentral.
UAGAGUUUGAUCCUGGCUCAGGAUGAACGCUAGCGGCAGGCCUAAUACAUGCAAGUCGAGGGGUAAAUAUGUAGCAAUAUAUAUGAGACCGGCGCACGGGUGCGUAACACGUAUGCAACCUACCUUUUACUGGGGCAUAGCUCAGAGAAAUCUGAAUUAAUUCCCCAUAACACUGCACUUCGGCAUCGGAGAGCAGUUAAAGCUCCGGCGGUAAAAGAUGGGCAUGCGGAACAUUAGCUAGUUGGUGAGGUAAUGGCUCACCAAGGCUACGAUGUUUAGGGGGUCUGAGAGGAUGAUCCCCCACACUGGUACUGAGACACGGACCAGACUCCUACGGGAGGCAGCAGUAGGGAAUAUUGGUCAAUGGACGCAAGUCUGAACCAGCCAUGCCGCGUGCAGGAUGAAUGUCCUAUGGAUUGUAAGCUGCUUUUAUAUGGGAAGAAACCCCUGGAUGCGUCCGGGGCUGACGGUACCAUUUGAAUAAGGAUCGGCUAACUUCGUGCCAGCAGCCGCGGUAAGACGAAGGAUUCAAGCGUUGUCCGGAUUUACUGGGUUUAAAGGGUGCGUAGGCGGAAAGCUAAGUCAGUGGUGAAAGCCCGCAGCUCAACUGCGGAACUGCCAUUGAAACUGGCCUUCUUGAAUACAGUGGAGGUAGAUGGAAUAUAACAUGUAGCGGUGAAAUGCUUAGAUAUGUUAUAGAACACCGAUUGCGAAGGCAGUCUGCUACACUGUCAUUGACGCUGAGGCACGAAAGCGUGGGGAGCGAACAGGAUUAGAUACCCUGGUAGUCCACGCCCUAAACGUUGAUUACUCGCUGUUGGCGAUACACUGUCAGCGGCUAAGCGAAAGCGUUAAGUAAUCCACCUGGGAAGUACGUCCGCAAGGAUGAAACUCAAAGGAAUUGACGGGGGCCCGCACAAGCGGAGGAGCAUGUGGUUUAAUUCGAUGAUACGCGAGGAACCUUACCUGGGCUUAAAUGUCAAGUGACCGCUGCCGAAAGGCGGCUUCCCUUCGGGGCAAUUGGCAAGGUGCUGCAUGGCUGUCGUCAGCUCGUGCCGUGAGGUGUUGGGUUAAGUCCCGCAACGAGCGCAACCCCCAUCUUUAGUUGCCAUCAGGUUAUGCUGGGGACUCUAAAGAAACUGCCUACGUAAGUAGUGAGGAAGGCGGGGACGACGUCAAGUCAUCAUGGCCCUUACGUCCAGGGCUACACACGUGCUACAAUGGUUGGUACAAAGGGUUGCUACACAGCGAUGUGAUGCUAAUCUCAAAAAGCCGAUCGUAGUCCGGAUUGGAGUCUGCAACUCGACUCCAUGAAGUCGGAAUCGCUAGUAAUCGCGGAUCAGAAUGCCGCGGUGAAUACGUUCCCGGGCCUUGUACACACCGCCCGUCACACCAUGGGAGUUUGUUGCACCAGAAGUAGGUAGUCUAACCGCAAGGAGGACGCUUACCACGGUGUGGCCGAUGACUGGGGUGAAGUCGUAACAAGGUAACCUCAGUCAGUCA